UUUGAUUAAUCUGUCUUUGGCAAAUAAUAGACUAGAAGGUUCUAUUCCUGUGUCUAUGGGAAGCAUGAUCAGUUUGGCAAAUCUCGACUUGUCGUACAACAACCUCUCUGGUUCAAUUCCAAAGUCUUUAGAAGCACUUCAACACCUCGACUACUUUAAUGUCUCUUUCAAUAGUUUAAGUGGAGAAAUUCCUAAUGGAGGUUCUUUUAGAAACUUCACUACGGAUUGUUUUAAGGGUAAUGAGGCAUUGUGUGGAAUCCCCAAGUUCCAUGUCCAAAUUUGCUCUUCAAUUUCUAAUCACAGAUCAAAGAGAAAGAAGGUGGAACGAGCUUCAUUUAUUGUUUUCGGGGUUGUGGCUUUCAUCUCAGUUGUUUCUUUGGCCUUUAUAAUUGUCAAAAACAAAAGGAAAGAUAAGACGACUAGCAGAGAAGUUGAUGAGUUGAUAUUCAUUGUGCCGGAAAGAAUCUCUUAUUAUGAACUGCUGCAAGCAACGGAAAGAUUCGAUGAAAGCAAUUUACUUGGCACUGGGAGUUCUUGCUCUGUUUAUAAAGGAAUUCUUAACAAUGGGAAGGAUAUCGUUGUCAAGGUGUUUAAUAUGCAGCUAGAAGGUAUUUCAAGAAUAUUUGAUGUCGAAUGUGAGAUACUACGUAGCAUUCGACACAGGAAUCUGACAAGCGUCAUAAGCAGUUGCUCCAAUGAAGAGUUCAAGGCAUUAGUACUUGAAUAUAUGCCAAAGGGAAACCUUGAAAAAUGGUUAUAUUCCCACAACUAUUGCUUGAAUAUGAUGGAAAGAUUGAAUAUAAUGAUUGAUGUUGCAUCUGCUUUGGAGUAUCUUCACCACGGUUAUUCAAUGCCCAUUGUCCACAGCGACUUGAAGCCUAGUAAUGUGCUGUUAGAUGAAGACAUGGUUGCCCAUGUAAGCGACUUUGGGAUAGCAAAGUUGUUAUGCGAUGGAGAUAGCUUUGUGUUAACCAACACGCUAGCAACAUUGGGUUACAUCGCUCCAGGUGAAGUUUCUCUAAAUAUAUUGAUUGCACUUCACUUUCAAUCAAUUAAUUGUGUCUUCCUAACUCAUACAUCAUGAUUUUGUUGUUCCAGAGUAUGGCUUGGAAGGGCAAGUUUCAACAAGGUGUGAUGUGUAUAGCUACGGGGUGAUGUUGAUUGAAACUUUUACGAGAAAAAGGCCUAGUGAUGAUAUGUUUUGCGGAGAUAUGAGCUUAAAGAGAUGGGUAGAACUCUCACUUUCGGAGAACCCAGAUGAAGUGAUAGAUGCCAACUUAGUCAUGAAUUUGGAGGAAGAAAUGAUUGACAAGAAUAUGCAGUGUGUGUCAUCCAUACUUGAAUUGGCUCUGAAAUGCUCCGCCGACUCUCCCGGGGAUAGAAUCAACAUGAAACAAGCACAUGCAGAGUUGCAGAAAAUCAAACAUCGAUUUUCCCAAUGAGAUUCAAGUAAGCUAUUUUAAAGUUCUAUGUUAUUUCUAAAAGCAUAUUCAUAUCCCAAAUUUCUAUGGCAAAGUUAGCUAAUGAAGUCUUCUUCAUUUGGUGGCUUUGAUGAGGCAUGUAGUGUCGAAGAUUUUGAAGAGGCUGUAGAUGCUAAUUGGGGUGAGGCAGUGGAUAGUUGUGAGGUGGAUGACAUAAAGAAUGGAAAAUGUUGUUCUUUAUUAUUACUAUUGUACUUGUCUUUUAAUAAAAAAAUUCCUAAAAUGUAUGGAAUGCCUAAAUAAAAAAUUCGGCCCCCGUCAAAGUUCAGCCCCCCGAACUAAAUUCCUGACUCCGUCACUGGAUAUUCCUCUUUGUGGGGAAUAGUUAGUGAUGCUUAGUUGUUUAUAUUCUGGCCAACAGAACAAUAUUUGCAUUGACCAAAAGCUCACACUUUAAUUUAGAAGGUAUGCUAUAUCUGGAAUAAUUGUCUCUCUGUUUCUUCCUUUGCUUUAUCCAGUAGUAUUCUAUCUUUUCAAGAGCUUUAUUCCGGAGAUGCCGCGCAGGUCAUAUAAUAUGCUCACUUUGUCACACUGAACAUGAGGUUGGUUUUACUCAUUUUACUCUAUACUCAUUCAUCUUCAUGAAUAAGAAUUUGGAAACCUCCACACUACCUGCAUUGAAGCAUGGCUGCUAGAAGUCUAGAACUGUUCUGUCUCAGUUAAGCUGAAUAUAGUUACUAAUGUCAAACAUGUAUAUAGAAGUUGAAAACAUAAUACGAGAAAAUGGGGAAGGGAAGUUCAAAUAUGUCUUGGCCUGCUGGACUUGCAAAUGAGUUAGGCAAGAUUGGUCUUAUUUAUGGGUUGGGGAAGAGGUUGCCUGUUCUCAGAUUAAUAAUGUUUUAGCUGUAGUAUGAUGUGUUUUGGGGAUUUUCCUUCUUUUUCUCUAUCAAUCUCUUAUUUUGUUGGUUUGGGUGUGUUACUCAACAAGUUUGCAUAAAUUGUGGGGUGUGCAUGGGAAGAUACUAUAUAUUGUGGAACUCGCAAGCUGUAUGAUGCAUGAUGGUUGUGAGUAGGAAGUAUCUUCCUGUAUGCAUGCUGAUCUUUUGUUGAGUAAGAAGAAAAAGAUGGAUAGUAGUUGAUAACAGUGGGUAUUGUUGUUAGUAGAGUUCGCGUCCCAUUAUAAAUGUGUGGAGGAAAAUAAAGUGUUAUAUGGACCCUACUACUUUAAAUGGAGCUGGAAAUGAUAUUGUGAACAACCCAAAAUAGCAAAAGUGGAAACGAUAUCGUGGACGGAGGGAGUAUGUGGUUUGUUUUGCGUUCCUUAAACUAACUUCUACAGUAAUCUGCACAAAUCCAAUCUUAAUAUUAUCUUCUUGUUUUUAUGGCCUUAAUUAGUUUGCUUAGAUCAUCUUGUUGCUGAAGCGCACAAUGUUUCUAUAUAUUUCAUCACUGUUCUUGCCUAGCUGACUAAACGUGGUUUUUUAGUAUCAAUUUGGAGUUUUCGAUUGUUCGCGAGUUUUUCUUGUUUUUGUUUUGCAAGCUCACUAUAUUAUUGAAUGAUUUUUUUUUUGGGGGGGGGAGCAAUUAUGAUUCCUAUGGUAGGCUGAGACGAAAGGUCUUAAGAUAGCCGAGACGGAGGGAGUACUAUAAUUGAUAUGACAAUAGACAAAUAUUGACAAAAUCAUGAAUUUGGAUCCUUAAAUGGAGAUCGUUAAUGGCUCUCAUUUUAUUCCAUACUCAAUAUCGUGGCCGAAUAAUAUAAAUCGACAUAAAUUUAUACUAUAUUUAUUUGCAUAGGACCAUUUCCACUAAAUUUUUUUUAACAAAGAGGCCAAACCAAGGCCUCUCAAAGGGUUUAUGGUUUAUAAAUAAGUUGAAUUUGUGCACUGAAAUAAGUGAUCAAUUUGUUAGUUUCACAAAUUUAAGAAAAGUUAUAACUCUAUCUAGGAGUAUAAAUUUUAAGCCCAUCGAACACGUGCAUGCUAAACAAUCUUAUAAAUUGAAAAUUAAAUCAAACUUGAAUUCUUUUAAUGUAUCGAAUACUCAUGAAAUUUAAUAUGACCCUACUUAAUUACACACGUAAUUCCAUUGCAUCCCUAAUUACUACCUUUCAAGACAAACCUCAAGAAACACUUAUUAAGAACCUAAAGUUACUGUCUGAAACAUGAAGCUCCACUAUCAUUCAUGCCAUUUAGUCACCUAAGAAAAGUAUUAAGACUCACGGGGUGGUUUCAAUUCAGAUUCUAUAUAAAAAAAAUUGUAUUUCAAAUGUCUAUAGACUAUAGGUAUUCAAAUCAGAUUUUAAAAAGUCCUUAAAAGUCUGUUGGUAUACAAUUAUUUGUAGAUCUAAUCAAGUUAAAUGAUACUAAAAUUAAGUUGUAAGAGCCAGAAAAUUAGUACGGUUGAAUUGGAUAAGUAGUCAUAGGUUAACGGUUUGUUAAUGUUAUCUAUGUACCUCUGCAAUAUAUAUAUAUAUAGUGAUAUUAUGUAUGAGUGCGCUCACACUUACGGGGAAAAAAAUCCUUAUAUGAUGCGCUCAUACAUAACAAAAAAAAUAUCAUUAUUUAUAUAUAUCUAUUAUACAUAACUUUUUUUGCCGUUAUAAAAGAAUUCACAACUAUGAGCUCUUAAAUUAUUAAGUGUCAGAAACAAAAAUAUUUUAUAUUUUUCAAAAAGUUAUUUUAUACUAGUAUUAUCUAAAUAGUUUAUUAAAACUCGAUAUGUUAUAUCUUGUCAAUGACAUUUAACAUAAACAUAAAUUAAAAAUAGAAAAAAAAAAUUAUAAUUCUCCAUUCAAAAUACAAUAUGUAAAGAAAAGUUAAAUUGGCAACCCAAAUUAUCAACAAAUAAAAUCCAGCCCAUAUACAACAUGUUGAAAAUUCAACCCAAAAAACAGCCCCAAGUCCAACCCAUAUUAUAUAGUAGUAUAUUCCAUUUGUCGCAUUAAGACAACAAAUAAAUAAGAUACAUAAUUUCAUUAAUCAACACAUACUAUUUCAUUAAUCAACACAUACUGCAAUUCCAUUAAAAUAAAUACAACAGUUGGCAAAACCAAUGAACGUUAGAACACAUAUCAUGUUUAAUUGGUAUAUGAACUCAUCAUGCCCUUUUAAACUCCCCUCCAUCAGCUAUCAUAUUCUUUGUAAACUUAUUGCUUUCUUUUUUCAACAACAUGCUUUGUUUGCAAAUUUUGUGUAAACUGAUUUUAUAUAUAUACACCAAAGAAACAACCCCAUUCAUAUGCGAUAUUAUAAACUCAAAUGAGCAAAAGUUGAAUAUAUUUUACAACCAAUAUAAGCAGUACAUAUGUUUUCUUUUCAUUUAGCUGAGCUGGCCCAAUGUUCUUUUUUUUAUUUAAUUGGGCUGCGGUUUGUAAUAUUUAGCAUGGGCCGAUGAAUUUCAGAUUUUGGGCUGUGCAUAUUUGUGUUUAAACGGACCACCUUGAUUAUUUAAUUAGACUAUCAUUAAUUUAAUUAAUUCUUUUUAAAGUAUAAUUUGUAUAAUAAUAUUAUAUUAUUAUGUGCAUAUUUUAAGUAAUUAUUUAUUAUAUGUUUGAAGCAUGACAUAAAAUUGAAUUUGCACAGGUAGAAGUGUACGUAGAAGUAUGAUGUGGCUGCUUCUUAUCUCCAUUGUAUAGUUUUGAAGUGUGGAUAUACCUUUUUACUGAUUCCUGCUCACUUUAAAUUAUCCUUUUGCAAGUGGGACUUUUCUCAAUCCAAAGUUUGAUUCUAUAUAUCUGUUUCUAUAUAAUCAAUCGAGAUAUAAGGAUUUAGUUUGCAUUUCUAUAUCGAUCAAGUCUUGGUCUGCGUCUCCCUCUUUGUCUCAACUCUUCACCUUCGUCUUCGUCUUCGUCUGCGUCUUUGAUAGGAUAUUGCUCGGCUAUGACUACUUCGAGUGAGUCUAACUCCAAUUCAAAAGGAAUAAUAGAGAAAGCAGAUAAUUUCAUUCAUUCAAAAAAAUGCCCUUGUACAUACUCUCAUCUGCUAUUUAUUUGAUACGAGCCACAACGGCCUGCUCUGCAACAUGCAGGACUCCUAACAAACUAAGAUAUCCUAACAGCAGGUGGGGACCUUCAUCAAGGACUAUCAGGUGCUCCGCCCCAUGGCAAAGUCACGGAAACGGGCCGGCAUCUUUCGAUUGCGCGUGGGCCUACCCUCAGUGCGGAGGUCUUCCUCAUUCUGGACUUCUUCUUCAAGUUGGGCUACCACUUCAUUGGGCUUAGUCUGCCCCGAUCCAGUAGUUGUAUCAGUCUUUGUCUCAACUCUUCACCUUCGUCUUCGUCUUCGUCUCCGUCUCUGUCUUUGUCUCAACCUCAAGUCUUCGUCUUCGUUUUGUCUUCGUCUCAAACGGAAAAAACAAAAAAACAAAAAAGACGUCAAAAGGCACCACCCGUGAAGACUCUCAAGUCUUAUAAUAUUUGUGUAUAUAUGAUGAUUAUUGGAUGCAUUUAUUAGCGACUUAAUUAUCAUAAUACAUUCACAAUUUGCAGCCAUGGACAAAAAGUGGACUAUCUUUUUAGUAAAAACAAUAUUUUUAUAUAGUAUUAAUUAGAAAAGUGGACUAUCUUUUUGGAACAUCUCAAAAUGGAAUAAGGGACUAAAAUGGUGGGACGGAGUGAGUAUAAUUUGUGGAUCCCUUUCUUCACUCACUAACUCGUGGAUUCUUUCUUCAUUCACUAACCUAAUUAACCUUUUCCACUUUUCUUAAUUAUUUUUGGGCUUCUUUAUCCACUCACGACCUAAUGGUAAAAAUAGGACCGUAACUUUCAGAAUUUUUAGAAAAAGGACUAUAAGUUACGGAUUUUGAAAAUAAGGACUAUAAUUUUGUAUUCUCGUUUUAACAAUUAACAGUUAUAUUUUUUUUAGGAAAAUUAACAAUUAUAUUUGUUUUAUCUUAAUUAAUUUAAUAUCCUAAAAGAAAGCUACAUAUAUACGUUCAUUAUAAUGUUAAAAGACAUAUAUUAUUUCUUUUUUACAUUUAAUUAGAAGAAUAAAUUAUAAAAAANUAUGCCAUCAAUUUUGAAUAGAGAGAAGAGAUUUUGCAGUAUGGCAGAUUUGCAAGCAAGGAAGAAUUGAGUAAGCAGGAAUAUCUAAAGAUAUUUAAAGACAUUUUUUUUGUGAAGAAAACCUGAUGGCAUAUUUUUUUAUAAUUUAUUCUUCUAAUUAAAUGUAAAAAAGAAAUAAUACAUGUCUUUUAACAUUAUAAUGAACGUAUAUAUGUAGCUUUCUUUUAGGAUAUUAAAUUAAUUAAGAUAAAACAAAUAUAAUUGUUAAUUUUCCUAAAAAAAAUAUAACUGUUAAUUGUUAAAACGAGAAUACAAAAAAGAAACAAAAAAAUUUUUUGCAAAAAAGUUGACAAUAUGGCAGUCCACGUCAGCAACGGGCUCUACGUUGCAUCAAAAUCCCGAACAAUUAAUUUUGGGCCCGAAACAGGAGUGUAAAUGUUAAAAAAAAAUUAUAGUCCUUAUUUUCAAAAUCCGUAACUUAUAGUCCUUUUUCUAAAAAUCCUGAAAGUUACGGUCCUAUUUUUACCAUUAGGUCAUCCACUCACUAAAUAUACAACACAAAUUUUCUUAAAAUGCGUGUCAUCCUCAGGCGUGGACAAAGAGAGUAUUUGUUAUCAUACACAAUUAAAACAUACUUCCUCAGUUCUACUUUACUUGGCAUGGUUUUUUUUUUUGGAUCGUCCCAUCUAACUUGGCUUGUUUCAUUUUUUAGUAAUAAAAUUUUACUAUAUAAUAAAUAUGAAUCUACAUAUUUUACACUAUAUUAUUGUUAUUAUUAUUAUUAUUAUUAUUAUUAUUAUUAUUAUUAUUAUUAUUAAAAAAAUAAACUUUUUUUAGGCAUUCCCAUAUGCAUGGGAAUAGGCUAAUCCCAUAUGCAUGGGGGAGGGGAGGAAUGGCUAAUCCCAUAUGCAUGGGAAUAUGCAUUUCAUUGGGAAUGACGAUUCUAAUUAUAAAAACGGUACCAGCCAUAGGAUUGAGAAUUGACACAGGAAUCAUCAUUCCAUUCUUGCAUACCAGUCAUGCCCUUAUAUGUGAUUAGCAGGUACGGAGCUAAGCUAUCUUUACAAGUUUUUGAUUUUAAAUCCAAACUAUUAAUUUGCCGAUAAAAUAAUUUGAAUUUGAGGGUUACAAUCAAUUCCCUAUCAUCAAACUUUCGACCUCACAAAUUGAGGGGGAAAAACAAACAUUUUAAACUUUUAAUAACCUGUUCAUUUUAAAUUCAUUUUUAUGACUUUUAUAACAUAUUAAAGAUCUUCUGAAAACAACUUAAGAUGCGGAGUUUAAAUUUAUUUAAGGCCAUUAUCUUAGGGUUAUUUGCAAAAAUAGGCCACUAUUUUUCGGACUUGCAAAAAUAGGCCAAUUAUUUUAAUUUUGGUAUUUUUAGGCCACAUGUGUACCCAAUCAGGCUAUUUUGGGCCACAUUUUGACCCCAAAAAGUGGCCUAUAAAUGCUGAAUUGGGCUCAAAUGUGGCCUAAAAAUGCAAAAAACUAAAAUAAUUGACCUAUUUUUGCAAGUCCGAAAAAUAGUGGCCUAUUUUUGCAAAUAGACCUAAGAUAAUGACCUUAAAUAAUUUUAAACUCUAAGAUGUGCAUUGAAUAUUUUUCUCAUAAAUUAAAUUUGAUUAUGUUUAGAAAAUAAUUAAAAUUAUAAAGCUGUUUGGAUAUAAUUAAAUGGGGAGUGAUUUUUGGACACCGGGUGUCUUAGACACCUUCAUAAAAAAUCAGUUUUUGCUUGAUGUUUAAUAUUUAGUGAUUUGUCUAAAAUAUCAUUUCCAAAAAUAUAUUCAACCGAUUUUGCUAUUAUUUUUAAUUUUUAUAUUUUUUUAUAUAAAAAAUUAGUGAAUAUGGAAAAAAAUAUUAAAAAAUAUAAAAAUAAAAAAUAAUAAGAAAAUCGAUUGAAUAUAUUUUUGAAAAUAAUAUUUUAGACAAAUCACUAAAUAGAAAAAAACAAUCAAAUUAAACAUCAAGAAAAAACUGAUUUUUUAUGAUGAUGUCUAACCAAAAAUCUUUUCCCAUAAUUAAAUAUAUGCAAUUAAUUUAUUCAGUAAAGACGCUUUUGGACUGCUUUAAAUAUAAACUAAAGCAAAGAAUUCGAGUUUCCCCUUUUCUCUUUAGACCAUAUUACAGCUUUUUUAAAAGCUUUGGUUUAAUCGAUUAAUUUGCAAAAGAUGCACUUUAUUUUUUUGUCUUGUAUCAACUUUUAUUUUUCGGGAUAAUAUAUAAUGGACUAUAUAUGGUGUACCUUAUAUAUUUUUUUACUAGAGAAAGUAAAAAUUAGAAAACUUGAAUUCAUGAUAGGUGGAGUGGAAAUGAAAGAAAAGACUCGGAAAGAUUAGUUAGGAUGAUCCAUUUUCCAAAAGGUGAAAAAGGAGUGGAAAAAACAGAAAAACAUAGAUAGGUCCCACCACUACAAGUUUUCUAAGUCAAAAGGUUUAGAAAAAUAUUGAAAUUUAUGUUGUAUGAAUCGGAAUCAUGAUCAUUGCAUUAUAAAUUUAUAGAUAUAGGGUGUGUUUGCUUUUUAUCCUUCUAAAUGGAGGGAUAACAAAAAUUUGUGCCUUCACAUUUUACACAAAAGAGAAAUUCACUAUUUUUUUUUCCUUAUUUUUUUGGUGUGAUAAUAUUAUCCCUCCUUGAGGUGAAAAUAAGGAAGAAAAAAUGGUGAACUUCUCUUUUGUGUAAAAUGUGGGAUAAGAAAUUAGACAUUUAAAUGCAUAAAUUUUUAUUAUCCCUCAUUUUCCCAUCCAUCAAAGUGAACGCACCCAUAAAGAUUAAUAUAGCGUGCAAUAUUAUCAUAAUUGACAUAUUAUUAUAUUAAUAUAUAACACUCAAACGGAAAAACAAAAAACAAAAAAGCUAGACAUCAAAUUAAAGCCACAACCAUGAAGACUCUCAAGUCAAGCAAGUCUUGUAAUAUUUGUGUGUAUAUAUAUGAUGAUUAUUGGAUGCACAUAUUAGCGACUUAAUUAUCAUAAUACAAUCAUAAUUUGCAGCCAUGGACAAAAAGCUUUCUUGCAUUUUGCCUUGUGCAUUCCUAAUCACCAUAACCUUCCCAAUGCUUUCUUCUGAAGCCAAACAACCUUUGAGCCUUGCAACUGAUCAAACUGCCCUUCUUUCACUCAAACAUACAUCUCUUUUACUUGCAAUUAAUUGGACCAACUCCACCUCCGUCUGCAGCUGGAUUGGCGUCACUUGCAGCUUCCGCCACCACAGAGUAGUUGCCUUGAAUCUCUCCAACAUGGCUCUCUCCGCCACCAUUCCACCGCAGCUCGGACACCUCUCCUUCCUCGUCUCCCUCGACCUCACCAACAACCUUUUCCAUGGAGAUUUGCCUCAAGAGCUGUCUCUCCUUCGCCGUUUGAAGUUCAUAUCUUUCCGACUCAACAACUUCACCGGAGACAUCCCUCCGAUGUUGGGUCAGUUACCAAAAUUAGAGCACUUGUCUUUAAGCAACAACAGCUUCAUAGGUUCCAUCCCAAAAUCUCUCUCAAACCUCACAAACCUACAAUUUCUUGACUUAUCUUCCAAUUCUCUAAGUGGAGAAAUUCCAAAAGAGUUUGGGAGACUUCAAAGUCUACAAACUCUGUAUGUUGAAUCCAAUCAUUUAUCGGGUGCUAUACAAUCAGCCAUAUUCAACAUCUCGACCCUUGUAGUUAUAGCAUUGAGAUACAAUGAACUGAGUGGAAGUCUUCCGACAGACAUGUGUCGUAAUCUUCCAUUUCUUGCUCUCAUUCGUCUUUCUAGAAAUCGGCUGAGUGGUGCGAUUCCCACAAAUCUGUCCCAAUGUUCACGGCUUGAGGUGUUGAGCCUCGCAUACAACUCUUUUAGUGGGGAGAUACCUUCAGAAAUCGGCUACUUAACAUCUCUUCAGUAUUUAGCUCUUGGUGGUAACAAUUUGAAUGGUAUGGUUCAAAGUUCUUAUCACAUAAAUUUGUGUAAAUGAGAUUUUAUUAGUUUCAUGACACUUUUUUUGCAGGAAUACUACCACAUGAGAUUGGCCAUCUUCAGAGUCUGGUUACUUUUGGUGCUGAAAUCAAUCAGAUUGGGGGCUCAAUUGAUUUCAAUAUUUUCAUGAAUAUGUCUUCUCUGCAAACCUUAAUACUAUGGCGUAACAAAUUCACGGGGAACCUUCCAAGGGAUGUCGGGAAUAUUACCAUGCUAACAGUGUUACAACUCAAGGAAAACCAUUUAACAGGUACAACAGAGCAAUUUUCAUGUAAAUUGUCUGUUUAGCUACAAUUUUGUAAUCUCAUGUUUUGCAGGGAUUAUUCCCACUGAAUUUGGCCAACUUUACCAUUUGGAGACAUUAGAACUACAAUCGAACAGCUUGAGUGGUUCGAUUCCACAUGAGCUCUUUAACAUUUCAACUCUUCGGAUUCUUGCACUUACCAACAAUGCUCUGUCAGGGGUUCUUCCAACCCAUUUAUGCCAUGCCUCUCCCUUUCUUGAACAACUUUAUCUUGGCACAAAUUCUAUCACCGGAGCAAUACCCAACUCCAUCUCUAACUGUUCUCAACUCACAAUUCUCGCACUUUAUAAAACAAAUUCAGUGGUUAUAUACCUACUCAUCUCGGCAACCUAAGACUUCUUCAAGAUCUUCUACUGCAUAGAAACAAUCUUACCCAGCCACCAUCUUCUUCCUUCAUUACUUCAUUGACAAAUUGCAGGUCUCUAACUCAUUUGGAUAUUUCUUAUAAUCCUAUAUACAACAUCAUUCCAGCUUCUGUCGGGAACUUAUCUUCCUCACUUCAAACAUUCUAUGCCAGCAACUGCAAAUUCAAUGGCAACAUUCCUGAUGAAAUUGGCAAUUUAAGCAAUUUGAUGACAUUGGCUUUGCAAGGCAAUGAGUUAUCAGGUAAUAUUCCACUAACUAUAAGCCAUUUGCAUGAACUUCAAGGAUUACGUAUGUCUGAUAACAUGUUGGGAGGCUCAAUACCACAUGCUAUAUGUGAUCUAUUCAGCCUCAAUACUUUAGUUAUGAGCCAGAAUCAAUUUUCAGGCCCAAUUCCUAAAUGUCUUGGAAAUGUCUCUUCUUUAAGACAUCUUCUUCUAGAAUCCAACAUUUUGAAUUCAAGCAUACCAUCAAGCUUAUGGGGCCUAAAAGAUUUGAUCACUCUAGACUUGUCCUCAAAUUCAUUAAAUGGGUCACUACCUCUAGAGAUGAGUAACUUAGGAGCAGCGAUCUAUAUAAACCUAUCAAUGAAUCAGUUGUCAGGGUCAAUUCCGACGAAUAUUGAAAAGUUGCAGAAUUUGAUUAAUUUGUCUUUGGCAAAUAAUAGACUAGAAGGUUCUAUUCCUGUGUCUAUGGGAAAAAUGACCAGUUUGGCAAAUCUCGACUUGUCGUACAACAACCUCUCUGGUUCAAUUCCAAAGUCUUUAGAAGCACUCCAACACCUCGACUACUUUAAUGUCUCUUUCAAUAGUUUGAGUGGAGAAAUUCCUAAUGGAGGUUC
RNAcentral lists this long non-coding RNA (11876 nucleotides) under Salvia miltiorrhiza (redroot sage). Its description in RNAcentral is "long non-coding RNA (SMIL_LNC007460)". The record is from RNAcentral. Lineage: Eukaryota; Viridiplantae; Streptophyta; Magnoliopsida; Lamiales; Lamiaceae.